This is a long non-coding RNA of Oncorhynchus tshawytscha (Chinook salmon), 1004 nucleotides long. The record is from Ensembl. Lineage: Eukaryota; Metazoa; Chordata; Actinopteri; Salmoniformes; Salmonidae.
CAUAAUAGAGACACUGCCAUCAUCCUCUUUGAAUACUUCAUCAAAUCUUUUCCAAACAUUCCUUUUCUGGCCAUCCCUUCUUUAUUUUCGUAGAUUUCCUCUUAUUGAAUUAAACUCUGACAUUGUCCUUUUUUCUGCCCUUUCCCAAAAGUGUUUGGUGAUUGAUGUCUAGUCUAUUUGGCACGCGCCAAAUUAGGCCCUAAAGCUUAGGUUUACGUACAAAUGCUAAAUAGCCUAUAGAUAUAAAUGACACAAGAAUGAUACAUUUAUGGAAUUUUUUCAUGUAUUGUUUUCUCUUUAUUCAACCUGACCGCCUCCCACAUAAUAUUUCAUGACCCUAAACCCGCCGCCCUGUGGAUAUAACCGUGGGACUGCUGCUUAUGAGUCAAUGCAUCACUAAUGUGUGUUACAUCUCAAUGAUUUGACCCUAUGUCUGUACAGAUUAUUGUGGCCAAGCCCAACAUCCUUCUCCCUCCCUCUGUGAGUGCCCUGAAGAAGGCAUCACGCCUGAUGGAGUUGGUCCCUACUGUCCGGCCCUGCAGGGAGCAGCUGGACAAGAAGACACAGUGGACCAACACCAACGAGGAGAGCCUGAGGAGGAUUAAAAAAAAACUGGCCUCCAUAGAGCUCGACCUGGAGGAAGGCCUGAACAAGGUCAACGACGGUCAGGACAUCAACCAAGAGAGGCAGAAGAAUGAGGGAUGCUUCAGAGCCUGGAUUGAGAAGUGGAUGGGGAGGAGGAAGGAGGAAAGACUGAGGGAUGAAGAUGUGAAUAGGGAAGACAAAGGGAGGAUGGGCGAGGAAGUGAGGGCACUGAUCCAAGUGAUGAAGAGAAACUGCAGUGAAAGUGAUCUUGAGGCAGUAAACCUGGACAGUUGGCUGAAUGACUUGGAAAGGUUGAAAGUGGCCUUCAAGAAAUGCACUGGAGAGAUGGCCGAAAUGAGCCCAGGGAAAGUCUCUGGUCCUGUGUCUGGCCUCUCUCCUCUUGUGACCUCAGCACCCCG